AAAAAAAAAAAACAAAAAAAAAAACCUCGUUUCAGCUGGAUGAAAUAAAGGGGUCACUUUUUUCAUUUCUUAUUUAUUUAUUUAUUUUUUGAGACCGAGUUUCGCUCUUGUUACCCAGGCUGGAGUGCAAUGGCGCGAUCUCAGCUCGGCGCAGCUACCCUUAGGCAUCUGCAAAACAAUCAGAGAAUCUCUUAACAAUAAAGUUGCAAGACUCUCCUUGGCCCACAUGCGAAAGAAAAGACUCAAAAUGAAAGUGAGCCUUUCGGACGUUGCGGGUCUUGCUGUUGCCCAGGCUGGACUGCAGUCGUAUGAUCAUGGCUCAUUGUAGACUCAACCUUCCAGGCUCAAGCAAGUCUCCUGUCUCAGCCUUAAGGAGUCUCUGUGUGUUGCAUUGCCUAGAGUUGGGAAAAGAGUGGCAUGGGCUCUCCCAUGGCCACCACAGCUGGCACAAUGCUGGGUCACAUGUGAAGCUCACAGCCUUCCAGAUCAGCACAUUACUGAGACUUGCCCAAGGCUUAUGGCCAGUACUGCCUGAGUGCUGCUGAUGUAUAUUGAAGAAUGAAGGGCACUUUAGUGAGAAGAUGGUGAAAUCCUGCCAGGACUCGGUUCAUCCCAUUAUACAGUGGAUUCUUUUCUGGGCCACCUAAGAGCAAAGGCCUGGAAUUGGGAGCUUCAGAAAUCUGCCUGCUUCUUCAUUUUACUGUGGUCAAGCUUGUCCACAGAUACAAGUCAAAGUCCUCUGGGUUUGUUUGUUUGUUUUCCCUUCUCCUUUCACCAACCAGAAGGAAUCUCCAUGAGCUUCAUUGCCUGGAGUUGGGAGAGUAGUGCUGCAGACACUCUCACAGUCUUCACAGCUGGUGCCACACUGAAUCAUACCCCCUUUACACUGCCUCUGAGAGUAGAACAACACCAGGGCUUGACCAAGCACUGAAGUUCCUGUGGCCUGACUGCCACUCAAAUUUAUUUGUUGUCCCAGGCCACGUUAGUCAGCUGGUAGUGAAGCCAUCUGGGACUUGGUUUUAUCUCACUGGAGAGACAGAUUUUCCUCUGGCCCAUGGUUGCUGUAGAUGGUUUUUGCUGUAGAUGCCAGCAGAAUUCUGCCCCGUAUUGUAUUCUGGUGUGACAGAGCAGCACUGAGUGCUAAUGCAAAGUCUCAUAUUCACUUUGCUCUCCCCUCCCCAAGAGCAUGCACUCUCUCUACCCUGUGCUGCUUGGAAUUCACAGAGGGGUAGUUCAGACAGUGCAAAAUUGUCCUUCCUACAUUCUUCAAUGCCUUUUUCUUUGUUAUGUUAUAACCCAGUACUAUGGUUGCUCAACUGCUUUUCCGGUUCCUGUGGAGGUGCUUUCUUGCAUGGUAUAGUUCGAUUUGCUGUUUGUGUCAGGAGCCAAACAUUGGAAUGUUCCAUUCAGCUGUGUAACUCCACUUUCUCCUGUCAUUUCCCUUUUUUAACUAACUAAGUAUGACCCCUUCAGAGUAAAAGGAGGAAAGGGUAAAAGGAAGUAUAAAGCAUACUCUCCUUUCCCUGUGAUUGAAUAUUUACCAUUUAGAAUGAUUUUCCAUAUAAUAAAGCUAUUGCCUUUCACUGCCUUCUCACCUUUUCUGAGGGAAUUAGUACUGAUUUGACUGAUGAAGUUCUAAAAAUGACUGGUGGGAAUUGGUGUUUCUGAUGUUGUUAGAUGCAGCUUCUGCAGAGCAGCUUUAUUUUGGUCUCUUCCUUCCAUGGGAAAAAUGGCUUACUUCUCUGUAGCAGUCCUAUUGUUGUAUAAGUGCAAAUGAUCUAUGUGAAAGUCUGUUUAACUUUUCAGAUGAAGUUUUAGCAAAUUUGCUUGGCCAUGAUCUAAUACCACAUUUUCUAGUCACAUGUAUCCAACAUCUAUUCUCCUAUUUAGGUAUAAAUGAGAGAGAUAAUGAUUUUUUUUUUAAUUACAGUAACUCCUCAUAGUUCCAAAUAUUGGAAAUGUUUCUACUUCUUUAAUUACAUUUAUCUUAAUUUGUUUUUAUAUAUUCCAUUUAAUUUUUAUACUAUUCACUUGUUGGCUCAAUAAACAGUUACUGAGUGAUAUGCAAAAUAGUCAUAUAUCUUCUAUUAUAGAGCUUUGACUUAUGAGGAAGAAAAGAUAAAUUUAAAUAACAUCAGAAUGUUUGUUCAUAAUUGUGAUAAAUACAGGUACAAAAAAGAAUGACUCUGAUGACUUAUACAUAGGGAACUUUAUUUGGAUUGAAUGAAUGGAUUGGGUCAGAAAUGCUUCACUGACAAAGUGACGUUUCCUGUGAAAUCUGCAGAAUGCACUGUUUUCAGAGCAACAAAAAUUACAUAGAGAUUGUUACUUCUCUUGAUCUGGGGAGUGGAGAGUGUUCCCUAUGUGUAGCACAGGGAUGGGCGAAUGCUUUUCAAUAAAGGCCAGAUAUUAAAUAUUUUUAGCUUUGUGAACCAUAUUGUCUCUGGUAGUUCUACUCAAUUCCAUCAUUGUAGCAGGGAAGGAGUAAUAGAUAAUAUGUAAGUGAAUGGAUGUGACUAUUUCCUAAAGAGUUACAAAUAGUGGUGUACUGAGUGCUGGUUGAGGCUAAUAAUAUGCUACAUUGUUUAUUUCUACUUUGCUUUUUACAGAAAACAUCUUUACCUGAAACCUUUUAAAUCAGGAAUUUACAUCUUCUUGUGGUUUGUUUGUUUUUAGGCAAAUGAAGAACUCUACAUUUCUAACUUUUAAAUUGCUCUUAUUGAUUUCUAUCUAUCUUACCAUAUGUCUUAAAAAUCUUUUAUUCCAUGUAUCUUUUUUCUUUCAGAUGUAUUAUUCUCAAGAGAAAUAUCUUGUUUUCAGUGUCUUUGUAACAGUAAUUGAUCACAAAAUUUAAUGAGACAUUGUAAAUAGAAGUGUUUUCCAAAAUGUGUCCCAUGGAAUACAGAUCCCUGGUAAUGUUACAUGAAGUUGCAUCUCAAAUAAGUUUAGAAAUGAAUCUGUCACUGAUUCCUAAAUGUCGAAGAGUAACAUUUUCUUAAUGUGCAAAGAAAAAUGAGAUAUGAAAACUAUGUGGUUAGAUUUUUAUAAAUGUAAAUGUAUUUCUUGUAAGACUUACUUUGAAGUUGUAAGUUUUCUAUAUUUCAGAGGCAAAAUGUACUUCCUUUAAGUAAAUGAUGAUAAUAGUAGGUUAUUUCAUUAAAUUACUCUAGGAAGUAUUUUACAACUCAUAAAUAAACUUUAAUUUCUGUUCCCAGUACAUAUCUCCCAUAUCUUAUAAACUAUUAAAAAAUUUAAGAUAGAAAUUUUGGGAUUGCAUUUGCCAAUGCUUUUAAUACACUGAUAUUUAACAAACUGAAGCGAAAAUACUAACUACAUGAGCUUACAUAGAUGUUCUUUUAUUCACUACUCACUUUUCUGCUUCAAGUCUUCUUUAGGCUUGUUUUCCUACUCUCUCACUUUGAAGAUAAUUUUCUUUAUUGUAUAACUAGUUUUCCCUCAAAACUGAUCAUGAAAUGAGGCACAUGUAGGUAUCAUGUAUGUACCUGACUAGAAGAAAAAAUGACAGCUUGUAAAUAGUCUGCGUUCUUUUUCAUUUACAAAAGGAAAAAUUAUAUUGAAAUGUUUCCUUUGAGCAUUUCCUAACAUGCUGUGCUGUCAUGCUAAUAUGUUUGUUCUAAGAGUCUCUUAUAAUUCAUUAACUGAUUAUUAGAUUGUUCUUUGUGACACAUUAAUAAACUUGUUUGAAACUAGGAUGAAGAAAAAGCAUACUGAUUCAAAAGAAUUGCUCUAAUAUCUUUAAUGAGUUUGGUGCACUCAUAUAUUGGAAUCAUACAAUAAAUUAAAUAAUAAUACAAAUAUUGUCUAAGUGGCCGCAUGAUCUAUUUCUAUCAUCUUGUCACCUGUCCUUUCUUCUUUGCCAUUAUUGAUAAAGAUUUUAUUUUGCUAUUGCUCCCUCAAGCCUAUCCACAGGGGUUUUUAAGCAAUUUUCAUCCAGAAAGUGGAUGAAUGAGUUGAAGACAAAUUUGAGCUUUGAGCAUUUUUCCCAUGUUGAAUCAAUUGUUCUGACUCUCACAGUGAUGAAGUGUGAGAAAUGAAUACAUUGAUUACUUAAUAAGCUCUCAACUUUUAAAUAUUUCAUUCAGUCAAGCAGUUUCAGGAUUCUAGUUUUCCCAUGUAGGCCAAUCUCUUAAUAUUGAAAUUCAUUUAUGUAUAAAUGGAUUGCAUUCCUUCCACAGAGUAUGUGUAUCUGGGCCCUUGUUACAAAUUUGUCCUUGCAAGUUUUUGCUAGCAAAAUUAAGCCAAGCUUAAUUUUGGGAAAUAAAAAGCAAAAAUAAAAGCAUAUAUAUGUUGAUAUUUAGCAAGUGUUUAAGCAAAAUUUUAUUUGAUAACUAGCUGAAGUUAAGUAACUUAAAAUUUAAAAGAAACAAUAUAAUGCUGUCUAAGUGGGAUACUAUCACACAAUAAUAAUAUAUACAAUAUAUUAUAUAUAACUCAUAGCCCUUGUUGCAGUGUUUUGUUAUGAUGUUAGGGUGCUGUAGGGCUCAGAAGGUGUCAGAAAACAAUCUCCCUCUCUGCCCUUUUGUUGACCUUUCACUUCCUCCUUAGAGCAGAUGAAAGCAGGCCUUAGAAACGAGAAAUAUAUUUUAAUCUCUUUUUGCUUCU
Callithrix jacchus (white-tufted-ear marmoset) is the source of this 4623-nucleotide non-coding RNA. The record is from RefSeq and is a predicted model, not a curated record. NCBI's taxonomy places the organism in Eukaryota, Metazoa, Chordata, Mammalia, Primates, Cebidae.